RNAcentral lists this ribosomal RNA (258 nucleotides) under uncultured Glomus. Its description in RNAcentral is "partial 18S ribosomal RNA". It matches the Rfam family "Eukaryotic small subunit ribosomal RNA", at positions 624 to 886 of the family's 1831-position model. The record is from RNAcentral. Lineage: Eukaryota; Fungi; Glomeromycota; Glomeromycetes; Glomerales; Glomeraceae.
AAGCUCGUAGUUGAAUUUCGGGGUCAGUAGGUUGGUCGUGCCACUGGUAUGUACUGGUCUCACUGAUUCCUCCUUCCUGAUGAGCUGUAAUGCCAUUAAUUUGGUGUUGCAGGGAAUCUGGACUGUUACUUUGAAAAAAUUAGAGUGUUUAAAGCAGGCUAACGCUUGAAUACAUUAGCAUGGAAUAAUGAAAUAGGACGUUCGAUCCUAUUUUGUUGGUUUCUAGGAUUGACGUAAUGAUUAAUAGGGAUAGUUGGG